GGUAAGGUAGAGAGGGAGAGUAGGAGGGCCGGUUCUGUGGGCCCAAUGCGAGUGAGAGAAUUUUUGGGCCGGGGGUUUAGGGAUAAAUCUAGGUUUUUCUUUUACUCGAUAAAUAGAUUAAAUUUGGUUCUCACCAUUUAAAUCACAAGAAUUUCUAGGAGUGUCCAAAAUUAGUGAAACCAAUUUUGUUAGGAUUGUUUUAUUUUCCUUUAUGCAUUAAAAUUCUUAUACCUUAGGAAAAAUAAUAAAAUUUAGGUAUUUGUUUAAUGCCUUUUCAUUAAGGUAUUUAAAUAAAUACUUAACCUUUAUUAAAUGCAUAAAAUAGUGAAUAAUGUUUUCAUAUUCACAAAUUAUUAUUAACCCAUAGGAGUUAGAUUUUGAGAUUAGGAAAUAUUUUUAAUGUUUUCUAAAAAUAAAAGAAAAGGCCUAAGGUAGGAUUAGUAAAGGAAAUAAAAGUGAUGUGUUAAUCUUUUGGGAUAAUUGUGUGUUGGCUUGCAACUUUAUCAUGAUAAGUUGUGUAGUCACUUGUUGGCUUGCAAAUUUAUCAUGAAGGAAAGUUGUAUAGUCUUGUAUUCAAAAAUUUGCAUUGUUAACCCCUGCAUGUACUAUAUCGUAGACACCGAAGCACCAGAAGGGGAAUUCUUGGAAUUAUCUGAAGGACCUUCGGAGUUUGAGGAGAUCGUUGAAUUGAUC
Molecule: long non-coding RNA, 693 nt
Filed under: Setaria viridis
Lineage: Eukaryota; Viridiplantae; Streptophyta; Magnoliopsida; Poales; Poaceae
Description: long non-coding RNA (SVIR_LNC009881)
Source: RNAcentral